RNAcentral lists this ribosomal RNA (252 nucleotides) under uncultured prokaryote. RNAcentral's name for it is "partial 16S rRNA". It matches the Rfam family "Archaeal small subunit ribosomal RNA", at positions 475 to 726 of the family's 1478-position model. The record is from RNAcentral.
ACCGGCAGCUCAAGUGGUGGCCAUUUUUAUUGGGCCUAAAGCGUUCGUAGCCGGUUUGAUAAGUCUCUGGUGAAAUCCCGCAGCUUAACUGUGGGACUUGCUGGAGAUACUAUUAGACUUGAGGUCGGGAGAGGUUAGGGGUACUCCCAGGGUAGGGCUGAAUUGCAAGAAGCCGGGGAGGACCACCGGGGGCGAAGGCGGCGAACUGGAACAACCCUCCCGGUUGGUAAUGAUAGCCAGGGGCGCGCGCCG